AAGCUACACUUGCUGAAUCCUGAAUUUUCCAGGUACGGAGGAACCACUAAGGGGUUAAUCCAUAUUGUCUAUGGUAGGGAACCUUCUAUCCCGAACCCGUCAGCUAACUUCGGAAGCAGAACAAGGAAGGAGUG
Molecule: small RNA, 134 nt
Filed under: Sporanaerobacter acetigenes
Lineage: Bacteria; Bacillati; Bacillota; Tissierellia; Tissierellales; Sporanaerobacteraceae
Description: c-di-AMP sequence
Rfam family: c-di-AMP riboswitch aptamer (ydaO/yuaA leader)
About the family: This family represents a conserved RNA structure found upstream of the ydaO and yuaA genes in Bacillus subtilis and related genes in other bacteria. The ydaO/yuaA element is thought to act as a genetic "off" switch for the ydaO and yuaA genes in its native state. It is believed that the element may be triggered during osmotic shock leading to activation of ydaO, a predicted amino acid transporter gene, and members of the yuaA-yubG operon which code for KtrA and KtrB K+ transporters.
Source: RNAcentral